Molecule: long non-coding RNA, 772 nt
Organism: Pseudopipra pipra
Lineage: Eukaryota; Metazoa; Chordata; Aves; Passeriformes; Pipridae
Exons: 3
Source: RefSeq, a predicted model, not a curated record
GGCAGCGCCCGCAGGUUGUUACAAAACCAGGCGGUUUUGUAACGCGCCGGCCCCGGCCCGGCCCGGCCCACCCCGCUCCCCCCCGCUCCCCCCGCCCCGUGGGGGGUCACCCGGCCCCUCAGACCCCCCGGCCCCUCAGACCCCCCGGCCCGGCCGCGUCCGCCCCUCGGCGGGUGGGUUGCAGCCGAGCGGCCAAGGGAGCGCCCCGUGCUCGGAGUUCGGUCUGACCCGCUGGUGGGACGCGGGGCUCGCUCCUGGGCUCGGCGUUUUGGUGACACGGAGAAAACAGCGGUUCAAAGAGGUUUUGAGAUGCCGUUCCCUGCUAGAACUGGAGUUGUAGAGCCUUGUACUUGCACGGUUAAUCGGUCCCUUUCAGGGAAUCUACGUAGUGGUGAAGCUAUUUUGAUGUCAGGAAGACAAUCCCUGAUUACCCAUGGGACUCUCAACUAUGGCAGCAAAGAAGCUGCACUCUCUCUUCGAUGCAGCUGCAUUAUACUGUCAGCACACCCUGCAAAGGCCGAAGUCAGAACAAGUAAAGGACCACGGAUCACCCAGAGACCAUCUCAACUAUAUGUGGAAAGGAUGAUACCCCUGGUGACAAGAACAUCAUCUGCUAAAGGAUGCAACACAAGAGCACUCAAAAAUGAAAGAUUAGAGAACCUGGAGCAGCAGCUGACCUAACAAAACUAAAGACAAGUUCUGGAUGGUUCCCUAUGCACAUAACAAGACAUGCCUAGCAGGUCACUGAAAAGGAAGGAUGAAUAAACUGGUA